UACGUAGGGUGCAAGCGUUAAUCGGAAUUACUGGGCGUAAAGCGUGCGCAGGCGGUUUUGUAAGUCUGACGUGAAAUCCCCGGGCUCAACCUGGGAAUUGCGUUGGAGACUGCAAGGCUAGAAUCUGGCAGAGGGGGGUAGAAUUCCACGUGUAGCAGUGAAAUGCGUAGAGAUGUGGAGGAACACCGAUGGCGAAGGCAGCCCCCUGGGUCAAGAUUGACGCUCAUGCACGAAAGCGUGGGGAGCAAAAAGG
Molecule: ribosomal RNA, 253 nt
Filed under: uncultured bacterium
Lineage: Bacteria
Description: partial 16S ribosomal RNA
Rfam family: Bacterial small subunit ribosomal RNA
Source: RNAcentral